AUAUAUAGGAUUAUAUGAAGGGUGCUCUGGUUAGUUGAAAUCUUGCAACAAUUUAUCCAAGUAGGUUUUUUUAAGAUGAGGAUCAUCAAGUCUUUUGAUAGCCUUAAGAAUGAGUUCUUGGUCCUGGGUUA
This is a long non-coding RNA of Populus euphratica (Euphrates poplar), 131 nucleotides long. RefSeq lists it as uncharacterized. The record is from RefSeq and is a predicted model, not a curated record. The transcript has 3 exons. Lineage: Eukaryota; Viridiplantae; Streptophyta; Magnoliopsida; Malpighiales; Salicaceae.